Molecule: ribosomal RNA, 868 nt
Filed under: uncultured archaeon
Lineage: Archaea
Description: bacterial SSU rRNA
Rfam family: Archaeal small subunit ribosomal RNA
Source: RNAcentral
CUCCGGUUGAUCCUGCCGGACCCGACUGCUAUCAGAGUGGGACUAAGCCAUGCGAGUCAACAUAGCAAUAUGUGGCAUACGGCUCAGUAACACGUAGUCAACAUGCCCAGGGGACGUGGAUAACCUCGGGAAACUGAGGAUAAACCGCGAUAGGUCAUCACUUCUGGAAUGGGUAAUGACUUAAAUCUAUAUGGCCCCUGGAUUGGACUGCGGCCGAUCAGGCUGUUGGUGAGGUAAUGGCCCACCAAACCUGUAACCGGUACGGGCUCUGAGAGGAGGAGCCCGGAGAUGGGCACUGAGACAAGGGCCCAGGCCCUAUGGGGCGCAGCAGGCGCGAAACCUCUGCAAUAGGCGAAAGCUUGACAGGGUUACUCUGAGUGAUUUCCGUUAAGGAGAUCUUUUGGCACCUCUAAAAAUGGUGCAGAAUAAGGGGUGGGCAAGUCUGGUGUCAGCCGCCGCGGUAAUACCAGCACCCCGAGUGGUCGGGACGUUUAUUGGGCCUAAAGCAUCCGUAGCCGGUUCUACAAGUCUUCCGUUAAAUCCACCUGCUUAACAGAUGGGCUGCGGAAGAUACUAUAGAGCUAGGAGGCGGGAGAGGCAGGCGGUACUCGAUGGGUAGGGGUAAAAUCCGUUGAUCCAUUGAAGACCACCAGUGGCGAAGGCGGCUUGCCAGAACGCGCUCGACGGUGAGGGAUGAAAGCUGGGGGAGCAAACCGGAUUAGAUACCCGGGUAGUCCCAGCUGUAAACGAUGCAGACUCGGUGAUGAGUUGGCUUAUUGCUAACUCAGUGCCGCAGGGAAGCCGUUAAGUUUGCCGCCUGGGGAGUACGGUCGCAAGACUGAAACUUAAAGAAAUUGGGCGGGGAGCA